This 68-nucleotide transfer RNA is filed under the name Nerita melanotragus. RNAcentral's name for it is "tRNA-Tyr". The record is from RNAcentral. Lineage: Eukaryota; Metazoa; Mollusca; Gastropoda; Cycloneritida; Neritidae.
UGCGGGAUGGCCGAGUGUUAGGCAAAAGAUUGUAGCUCUUUUUACGGAGCAAAGAGCUUCUCUCGUAA